Molecule: long non-coding RNA, 863 nt
Filed under: Galendromus occidentalis (western predatory mite)
Lineage: Eukaryota; Metazoa; Arthropoda; Arachnida; Mesostigmata; Phytoseiidae
Description: uncharacterized LOC100897420, transcript variant X1
Source: RNAcentral
UAAAUUCAUCAAGCAUGAAUUUAACUUUGAACGCGGUCCCUUUACCUUGAGUUCUUGCGCACGCGACAUACCGCAGAAUACUCAUACCAGGCAUAAGCUCGGAGAAGAUACAACUCCCGGAGGUGGUCUUAUGAGCUUCCCGGAGGAAGUGGGAGAACUUGAACAACGUUAAACCCCGGCGUCACUGAUAGCUCCGCGGGACCUCCCGGGACAGGCAGGAGUUACCAUGAAUACAUUCAGGAACCGACGCGGAUCCUCGAAUGAUCUCAGCAAAGCUCCUGUGAGAACGUUGUUCCCUAUCAAGCCAUCAGCUCUGAAAAAUGUGGUCGAAGAAGACAGCAGGGAAGAGGCAUCACUCCAGAGAAUAAUGGUGGACUACAACGCUCAUUCAUAUUUAGGAAUCAUCGAGAAGAAUGAACAUUGCCGGAGAAUGCAAUUCUUAGUCAAGCACUUGGAGACCAUGCGGCAGGACAGUCGAAAUUUGGACUACGACAAGUGAGGGACCGGGGACUCGUCGUGUGCUAGUGAAGUCGUCCGCUCACGCCCCGUCGGUGUGAAUCUUCCUCGCGUGGUUCGAAAGAACUUGCAAGAGGGCGUAUCCGUUGAAUGAAUGCAUCGUUCACUAAGGGGGGACGCAUCAUGACGGAAACACAUACGUGGUUUCUGGAAGCGUCUCAUAUCUCGGUGCGAUCAGGAGAAUAACCACCAUGGACACUUUUAUGAGACUGGUCGUUCGAAGGCGAAAAAUGCAGACUCCUGUUUUCACAGGCCGACGGUAACACGGUUCCGUAUAUAGGGUCUAGGGUCCUUUGUUCAAUACACAUUUUGUGAUGAAAAGGGCGGUAACAAUAAAGGUUGCUGAA